UUUCCGUAGGUGAACCUGCGGAGGGAUCAUUAUUGUAUAACAUAACUGAUAGGGCUUUCUCUAACCCGAAAGGUGUUGCACGCCCGAGGGCCCUCACGCACAUCCAUCUCACCCCUAUGUGCACCACCUGGUGGAUCCCGCUGUGGCUUCUGCGUGGUGUGGCUGACCUUUUCACACAAUCUAUGUAGGCAGUCUAGAAUGUAUUUUUUAUUUUUACGAUCGCGGAAUCAAAGCAACUUUCAACGACGGCUCGCUUCGCUCUCGGAUCUAUGAAGAACC
Molecule: unclassified non-coding RNA, 279 nt
Filed under: plant metagenome
Description: partial contains small subunit ribosomal RNA, internal transcribed spacer 1, and 5.8S ribosomal RNA
Source: RNAcentral